Podarcis lilfordi (Lilford's wall lizard) is the source of this 101-nucleotide non-coding RNA. Lineage: Eukaryota; Metazoa; Chordata; Lepidosauria; Squamata; Lacertidae. The record is from the annotation of a GenBank genome assembly.
UUUCUCUCUCUCUCUCUCUCUCUCUCUCUCUCUCUCUCACACACACACACACACACACAGAGAGAGAGAGAGAGAGAAAGAGAAAGAGAAAGAGAAAGAAA